GGCGAGGAGUUUGCGACGGAUUCCUUCGGGAUGAAGACGCAAACUGCCNNGCGGCGGACGGGUGAGUAACGCGUGAGGAACCUACCUUCCACAAGGGGAUAGCCUCGGGAAACCGGGAUUAAUACCCUAUGAUACCUGGAAGUCGCAUGACUUACAGGUUAAAGCGCAAAGCGGUGGAAGAUGGCCUCGCGUCCCAUUAGCUAGUUGGUGAGGUAACGGCUCACCAAGGCAACGAUGGGUAGCCGGCCUGAGAGGGUGACCGGCCACACUGGGACUGAGACACGGCCCAGACUCCUACGGGAGGCAGCAGUGGGGAAUAUUGCACAAUGGGCGGAAGCCUGAUGCAGCGACGCCGCGUGAGCGAAGAAGGCCUUCGGGUCGUAAAGCUCUGUCCUAUGGGACGAUAAUGACGGUACCAUAGGAGGAAGCCCCGGCUAACUACGUGCCAGCAGCCGCGGUAAUACGUAGGGGGCGAGCGUUGUCCGGAAUUACUGGGCGUAAAGGGUACGUAGGCGGCUAGGUAAGUCAGAUGUGAAAGGCAUGGGCUUAACCCAUGUAAGCAUUUGAAACUGCUUAGCUUGAGUCGAGGAGAGGAAAGCGGAAUUCCUGGUGUAGCGGUGAAAUGCGUAGAUAUCAGGAGGAACACCAGUGGCGAAGGCGGCUUUCUGGCCUUGGACUGACGCUGAGGUACGAAAGCGUGGGGAGNCAACAGGAUUAGAUACCCUGGUAGUCCACGCCGUAAACGAUGAGUGCUAGGU
RNAcentral lists this ribosomal RNA (758 nucleotides) under uncultured bacterium. RNAcentral's name for it is "bacterial SSU rRNA". It matches the Rfam family "Bacterial small subunit ribosomal RNA", at positions 61 to 821 of the family's 1533-position model. The record is from RNAcentral.